CAGAGUUGAAAAACUCCAACCCUUGUGUAUCUUACCUUCGUCGUUGCUUCGGCGGCAAAGAUGCCCCCCUCCGCGGGGGCUACGGCGCCGCCGGAGGUUCACAAACUCUUGAUUUUUAGUGUAUCUCUGAGUUUAAAAAAUAAUAAUCA
This 149-nucleotide unclassified non-coding RNA is filed under the name soil metagenome. RNAcentral's name for it is "partial internal transcribed spacer 1". The record is from RNAcentral.